CAGCCGCCACGGGAAUACGUAGGUGGCAAGCGUUGUCCGGAAUUAUUGGGCGUAAAGGGCUCGCAGGCGGUUUCUUAAGUCUGAUGUGAAAGCCCCCGGCUCAACCGGGGAGGGUCAUUGGAAACUGGGAAACUUGAGUGCAGAAGAGGAGAGUGGAAUUCCACGUGUAGCGGUGAAAUGCGUAGAGAUGUGGAGGAACACCAGUGGCGAAGGCGACUCUCUGGUCUGUAACUGACGCUGAGGAGCGAAAGCGUGGGGAGCGAACAGGAUUAGAGACCCCCGUAGUCCCUGUCUCUUAUAC
RNAcentral lists this ribosomal RNA (301 nucleotides) under uncultured bacterium. RNAcentral describes it as "partial 16S ribosomal RNA". It matches the Rfam family "Bacterial small subunit ribosomal RNA", at positions 509 to 807 of the family's 1533-position model. The record is from RNAcentral.